ACAGAGGUCCCGAGCGUUGUUCGGAUUCACUGGGCGUAAAGGGUGCGUAGGUGGUCGGGUAAGUCCGAGGUGAAAUCUCCAAGCUUAACUUGGAAACUGCCUUGGAUACUAUUCGGCUGGAGGGUUGGAGGGGGGACUGGAAUGCUUGGUGUAGCAGUGAAAUGCGUAGAUAUCAAGCGGAACACCAGUGGCGAAGGCGAGUCCCUGGACAACUCCCGACACUGAGGCACGAAAGCUAGGGGAGCAAACAGGA
RNAcentral lists this ribosomal RNA (253 nucleotides) under uncultured prokaryote. RNAcentral's name for it is "partial 16S ribosomal RNA". It matches the Rfam family "Bacterial small subunit ribosomal RNA", at positions 525 to 777 of the family's 1533-position model. The record is from RNAcentral.